This 168-nucleotide ribosomal RNA is filed under the name uncultured bacterium. RNAcentral describes it as "partial 16S ribosomal RNA". It matches the Rfam family "Bacterial small subunit ribosomal RNA", at positions 339 to 524 of the family's 1533-position model. The record is from RNAcentral.
CUACGGGAGGCAGCAGUGGGGAAUAUUGCACAAUGGGGGAAACCCUGAUGCAGCAACGCCGCGUGAGUGAUGAAGGUUUUCGGAUCGUAAAGCUCUGUCUUUGGGGAAGAUAAUGACGGUACCCAAGGAGGAAGCCACGGCUAACUACGUGCCAGCAGCCGCGGUAAU